Molecule: ribosomal RNA, 253 nt
Filed under: uncultured archaeon
Lineage: Archaea
Description: partial 16S ribosomal RNA
Rfam family: Archaeal small subunit ribosomal RNA
Source: RNAcentral
UACCCGCAGCCCGAGUGGUGAACACUUUUAUUGGGCCUAAAGCGUCCGUAGCCGGUCUGGUAAAUCCUUGGGUAAAUCGUACGGCCUAACCGUACGAAUUCUGGGGAGACUGUCAGACUUGGGACCGGGAGAGGUUAGAGGUACUCCAGGGGUGGGGGUGAAAUCCUGUAAUCCUUGGAGGACCACCGGUGGCGAAGGCGUCUAACUAGAACGGAUCCGACGGUGAGGGACGAAGCCGUGGGGCACAAACCGG